UACGGAGGGUGCAAGCGUUAUCCGGAUUCACUGGGUUUAAAGGGUGCGUAGGCGGACAUGUAAGUCCGUGGUGAAAUCUCCGAGCUUAACUCGGAAACUGCCAUGGAUACUAUAUGUCUUGAAUGUUGUGGAGGUUAGCGGAAUAUGUCAUGUAGCGGUGAAAUGCAUAGAUAUGACAUAGAACACCAAUUGCGAAGGCAGCUGGCUACACAAAUAUUGACGCUGAGGCACGAAAGCGUGGGGAGCAAACAGG
RNAcentral lists this ribosomal RNA (253 nucleotides) under uncultured bacterium. RNAcentral's name for it is "partial 16S ribosomal RNA". It matches the Rfam family "Bacterial small subunit ribosomal RNA", at positions 524 to 776 of the family's 1533-position model. The record is from RNAcentral.